AUUUUUUUAAACGAAGUAAUAAGAGAAUCAAAAUUUAGGUACCACUUCUUAAAAGAAAAAAACUUAGAGACCUAAAUAGGAAAAAUUCUAUAAAUUGAGAGCCAAUUUUUAAUUUAAGCCAUAGUAUAAUAUUCUAUAACUAGUAACCAAAAAGGUAAACUUAUUUUCUUGGCUUAGUUCUUUUAUUGCCAUUUGUCAAAAUGUAUGUGACACGUGUACUGUUUUCCCCAAAUUUCAACAUUGCUAUUGUUUUUUUGACAGAAUUUUAGGC
Molecule: long non-coding RNA, 271 nt
Filed under: Gossypium barbadense (sea-island cotton)
Lineage: Eukaryota; Viridiplantae; Streptophyta; Magnoliopsida; Malvales; Malvaceae
Description: long non-coding RNA (GBAR_LNC004712)
Source: RNAcentral